CAAACAUGCAUGGGUAUCUUAGAAUAAAGAAGAGAUGAUUUCACUCUAAGGAAUUUAGCUUCUGAUUAUAAUAUGAAAUUUCUUUAAAAUCAUAUGAGUAUCUCUUAAAAGCAGUACAUCAAGAUCUGUCCUUUGGCCCUCACCAGGGAAGAAAUGACCUGUCAUUUCAGUCUUUAAUAGGAAAAUAUAUACCUAGCCUGAAGUUUGUGAAAAGUGUUUUAUUAGUGGGGAAGAGUGAUGGCUUAUUAUAAUUAAUUCUUUCCUCAAGGCCAUACCUCUAAAAAUAAGAGACAAAGACUAUUAAGGGGAAUGUAGUUACAAUCAGAGGAGGAUAUGCAUAUUUGGUAGCACCUCUUUACUUAACAUACCUGCUUCUUUCACAUUUCCUGACUUCUCCACUAGUCAAAGCAGAGGGCUCAUUGUUUGCAGGAUCCCAAUGAAGAAUUCAUUAGCAUACCAUCAUUUCAUGACCUGGAAUAAGGCUUGUGGCAGACUAUUUUUUAAAAAAAUAUAAUGCAAUCCAUUUGGAAGAAACAGGAUUGCCAUUUGAAACAAAUGAACAACAAGUGAUUGAGUCAUUUGAGAAGACUUCCUGGAGAAAGCAGUACUUCAGUUGUGCCCUGAUAGAUGAAGGCAAUAUUGAAUAGGUGGAGGGACAGGAGAAGCAUUGGUCUUGGGGACUUUUUUCAUUAUUAAUAUACCAACACAAAGAGCAGAACAGAAGCAUCCCUACUAUAUUGCAAUUGUUGUAA
Molecule: long non-coding RNA, 752 nt
Filed under: Vulpes vulpes (red fox)
Lineage: Eukaryota; Metazoa; Chordata; Mammalia; Carnivora; Canidae
Description: lncRNA (ENSVVUG00000007652.1)
Source: RNAcentral